Long non-coding RNA from Mytilus californianus (California mussel), 694 nucleotides. RefSeq lists it as uncharacterized. The transcript is spliced from 2 exons. The record is from RefSeq and is a predicted model, not a curated record. NCBI's taxonomy places the organism in Eukaryota, Metazoa, Mollusca, Bivalvia, Mytilida, Mytilidae.
CUCGGUGACCUUUGACCUUGGGUGCAAAUUAAAGGUCACAUGAAUUAAAGAUUAUUGGUGUAGGUCCCAAGUCUCUACGACUUCCAGUUCUCGAAAUACAAUUUUUCAAAAAUUGUGUAUAUUUUUUUAAGAGAAAUAACUCCUUAUAAGGGUCAAUAACAAAAUCAUUUUAUAUGUUCAUUAACAUUGCCAUCUGUUUCUGUAUAUGUUGCCGUUUUCAAAUCGAUUCUAUCCCUAAUACUUUUUGAGAAAAAUGCAAAGGAAAGAAAUCGCUUCAAGGGGAUAUAACUCGCAUAGGGGAUGAUGAAAUCCUAUGCAGCCUCAUAUGGUAGUACAUCAUGAUGAGAUCAACCUAUAGUCAAAAUAAGGUCAUGAUAUCUUUAAAAACAACGAAGGGGGGCCAUGUUGAAAAAAUCCAAUAAAAGGGGGAUAACUUCUACAGGGGAUGAUGAAAUCCUUAACAGGGUCAUGUGGUAAUACUUCAAGAUGAUGUCUAUCGAUGGUCCAUAUUUGGUCUUGAUAUCUUUAACAAAAACGGGGGGAGGGCAUUCCCAAAAAAAUGUUGGAAGAAAAAAAAGAAAAAAAAAAAAAAAAAAAAAAAGAAAAAGAAAAAAAAAAAAAAAAAGAAAAAAAAAAAACAUUAGAAAAACAAUAAGGUCUUUCCUAACGGAGUGGAAAGACCUUAAAAAAAGAA